This is a long non-coding RNA of Monopterus albus (swamp eel), 581 nucleotides long. RefSeq lists it as uncharacterized. NCBI's taxonomy places the organism in Eukaryota, Metazoa, Chordata, Actinopteri, Synbranchiformes, Synbranchidae. The transcript is spliced from 2 exons. The record is from RefSeq and is a predicted model, not a curated record.
GUUCAGCGCUCCGACUGCGUGUUCAGCCGACACACUCAGGCGUACUUUUUUUUUUGUACAGAACUGCGCGUGUACUGCGCGUACUCAACAGGGAAAGAAGAGGCAGAUCAUUCCUGCAGCACUACACCAAUGCCUAAAUUGUUCUUUAAAUGUGCACAGCUGUACCACUGUUUAAUGCUACUCAGACUUCAGUGAAGAUGGACUACAGCCUACACAUUAAACUGACUUCAGCAUUAAAAAUAUUACUUUAAAAAGAAAUCUUUCUAGAGGCAGUAUGGGUAUUUGAAUGAGAGGACUCAGAAGAAAACAAUCUAUAAAAUCAGUGAGAUGUUUUCAAAGGACUGACUCCUUUUCAUUUCCCUUUUCAUGCUUGGACAUAAAUAAUAAAGAAAGCUUGUGUGUUUUGGUGGCUCACAGGGUUAAAGUGCAUACAACAUGUUCAGAGUGCAAGUCAUGAGCCAUGACCUUUGUUAAUAUAAAGCCCUGUCUUGGCGGUUCACUGGUUCCACAUCUUAUGACUGAUCAUGUGAACAUGUAGCAGCUGUUACCAGAACCCCCCGUGUCUCUCAGCGCUAAGACCC